RNAcentral lists this ribosomal RNA (647 nucleotides) under uncultured bacterium. Its description in RNAcentral is "bacterial SSU rRNA". It matches the Rfam family "Bacterial small subunit ribosomal RNA", at positions 140 to 805 of the family's 1533-position model. The record is from RNAcentral.
UGGACAACAGUUGGACACGACUGCUAAUACCGCAUAAGCGCACAGCUUCGCAUGAAGCAGUGUGAAAAACUUCGGUGGUACAAGAUGGACCCGCGUCUGAUUAGCUGGUUGGUGAGGUAACGGCCCACCAAGGCGACGAUCAGUAGCCGGCCUGAGAGGGUGAACGGCCACAUUGGGACUGAGACACGGCCCAAACUCCUACGGGAGGCAGCAGUGGGGAAUAUUGCACAAUGGGGGAAACCCUGAUGCAGCAACGCCGCGUGAGUGAAGAAGUAUUUCGGUAUGUAAAGCUCUAUCAGCAGGAAAGAAAAUGACGGUACCUGACUAAGAAGCCCCGGCUAACUACGUGCCAGCAGCCGCGGCAAUACGUAGGGGGCAAGCGUUAUCCGGAUUUACUGGGUGUAAAGGGAGCGUAGACGGUUUUGCAAGUCUGAAGUGAAAGCCCGGGGCUUAACCCCGGGACUGCUUUGGAAACUGUAGGACUAGAGUGCAGGAGAGGUAAGUGGAAUUCCUAGUGUAGCGGUGAAAUGCGUAGAUAUUAGGAGGAACACCAGUGGCGAAGGCGGCUUACUGGACUGUAACUGACGUUGAGGCUCGAAAGCGUGGGGAGCAAACAGGAUUAGAUACCCUGGUAGUCCACGCCGUAA